UACGGAGGGAGCUAGCGUUGUUCGGAAUUACUGGGCGUAAAGCGCGCGUAGGCGGCUUUGUAAGUUAGAGGUGAAAGCCCGGAGCUCAACUCCGGAACUGCCUUUAAAACUGCAUCGCUUGAAUCCAGGAGAGGUGAGUGGAAUUCCGAGUGUAGAGGUGAAAUUCGUAGAUAUUCGGAAGAACACCAGUGGCGAAGGCGGCUCACUGGACUGGUAUUGACGCUAAGGUGCGAAAGCGUGGGGAGCAAACAGG
RNAcentral lists this ribosomal RNA (253 nucleotides) under uncultured bacterium. RNAcentral's name for it is "partial 16S ribosomal RNA". It matches the Rfam family "Bacterial small subunit ribosomal RNA", at positions 524 to 776 of the family's 1533-position model. The record is from RNAcentral.